Molecule: ribosomal RNA, 406 nt
Filed under: uncultured bacterium
Lineage: Bacteria
Description: partial 16S ribosomal RNA
Rfam family: Bacterial small subunit ribosomal RNA
Source: RNAcentral
GAUGAACGCUAGCUACAGGCUUAACACAUGCAAGUCGAGGGACCGGCGCACGGGUGAGUAACACGUAUCCAACCUGCCCUUUACUCGGGGAUAGCCUUUCGAAAGAAAGAUUAAUACCCGAUAUAAAGGAUGGGGAUGCGUUCCAUUAGGUUGUUGGUGAGGUAACGGCUCACCAAGCCUUCGAUGGAUAGGGGUUCUGAGAGGAAGGCCCCCCACAUUGGAUCGGAGACUCAGUCCAAAAUACUAAGUCAGGCAGGAGUUAGGAACAUUGGGCAAUGGUCGCGAGCCUGACCCAGCAAAGUAACUUGAAGGAUGAAGGCUUAUGGGUCGUAAACUUCUUUUAUAUAAGAAUAUGUAUUAUAUGAAUAAGGAUCGGCUAACUCCGUGCCAGCAGCCGCGGUAAUUC